This is a non-coding RNA of Mycena latifolia, 95 nucleotides long. The record is from the annotation of a GenBank genome assembly. Lineage: Eukaryota; Fungi; Basidiomycota; Agaricomycetes; Agaricales; Mycenaceae.
GGCUUGGUGGCGUAAUGGUAACGCGCUCCAUGGUUAUCUAAUGCAUUUGUAUAUCAUUUGACGGAAAGUCCGGAGUUCGAUUCUCCGUCAAGCCA